AUAUAUCGAUGGGUUUACAACCCUGCCUCCUUCCUAGGAAGCAGAGAAGAGUGGAUUAUCCUCCAGAGCACCAGCCAUUUCUGGGAUAGAAGCAAACCUAACAUUUGUACUCCAGUAAAAACUGGAGUUUGCAGCAUAAUUCACUUCAUUUAUCCAGCCAACCCCACUUGUGCAGAUGAGCUGAUGUCCCUAAGCAAUGUGUGCCAGGAGCUGCGCCUGUCUGCGUGUCGCUUUGGAUGGCCUCUCUGCUCGCACAGGCUAGAACUGCUUACUUGAGAUGUCGCGGUCCUGGAGAACAAGCGAGGCACUGUUCCACUGGCUUGCCGGGCCUCACAACAGCCGUGCACAGGAAUAUUUCUUGGGCUCUGCACAUAGUGGUGAUGCUUCAGCCUGACCAGGAAGGCCAUCAAGAAUUGAAGUAUGUCAGCUCCACAGCAGACCAAAGCACUGGACAAAAUUUGUUUUAAAAAAGACCCAAAACGGUGCUCGGACUAUUGUUUAGUGGAUGGAGUACCUGCCCCUGUGUAAAAGCUUGGCUGUUGCAGUACAUGACUGUAACUCCAGCUUUGAGAUCCGGAGGACUGAGCCAGACAAAGUAGCAAGCUCCAAGUACAGAGAGAGACUCUGCUUCAAAAAACUGACAGGAAGGGUGAUAGAGGAAGACACUGCACACAUGUGCAAGACACACACACACACACACACACACACA
Long non-coding RNA from Mesocricetus auratus (golden hamster), 709 nucleotides. RefSeq lists it as uncharacterized. The record is from RefSeq and is a predicted model, not a curated record. NCBI's taxonomy places the organism in Eukaryota, Metazoa, Chordata, Mammalia, Rodentia, Cricetidae. The transcript has 3 exons.